UCAAGCUAAAAAGGGCGCAGGGCGAAUGCCUUGGCACUGGGAGCCGAAGAAAGACGUGAUAAGCUGCGAUAAGCCGCGGGGAGUUGCAAAUAAACAUUGAUCCGCGGAUUUCUGAAUGGGGAAACCCACACGGAGUCAUGUCCGUGUAACAUACACUGAAUUCAUAGGUGUAUGUAGGGAACUGCCUGAACUGAAACAUCUAAGUAGGGCAAGGAAGAGAAAUCAACCGAGAUUCCGCUAGUAGUGGCGAGCGAACGCGGAAGAGGCCAAACCAGCGGUAGAAAUACCGUUGGGGUUACGGACUAGUACAAGUAUCGCAGAGUCUAGCUGAAGUGUGUGGGAAAGCACGCCGAAGAAUGUGAGAGCCAUGUAAGCGAAAGAUGAAGCGAGCGACUAGAAUCCAGAGUACGGCUGGGCACGUGAAACCCGGUCGGAAGUCGGGGGGACCACCCUCCAAGCCUAAAUACUACCCAGUGACCGAUAGCGUAUAGUACUGUGAAGGAAAGGUGAAAAGCACCCCGGGAGGGGAGUGAAAAAGAACCUGAAACCCUGUGCCUACAAGCACACAGAGGACGUCAAAGUCUGAUGUGGUACUUUUUGUAGAACGGUCCGGCGAGCGAAUGUAUGCAGCAAGGUUAAGUUGUUCAGCAAUGAAGCCGAAGCGAAAGCGAGUCUGAAAAGGGCGUUGAGUUGCAUGCAUUGGGCCCGAAACCGAGUGACCUACCCAUGAUCAGGUUGAAGUGGGGGUAAAACCCCAUGGAGGACCGAACCGACCUCCGUUGAAAAGGCGGCGGAUGAAUUGUGGGUAGCGGAGAAAUUCCAAUCGAACUCGGAGAUAGCUGGUUCUCCCCGAAAUAGCUUUAGGGCUAGCCUCAUGUUAGAUUUCCGGAGGUAAAGCACUGAAUGGCCUAGGGCCCGAGAGGGUACCGAAGCCUAUCAAACUCUGAAUGCCGGAAAAUUGAUGCAUGGGAGUCAGACUAUGUGAGAUAAGUCUCAUAGUCGAAAGGGAAACAGCCCAGAUCUACAGCUAAGGUCCCAAAGCAGGUUUAAGUGGAAAAGGAUGUGGAGUUGCGAAAACAGCCAGGAUGUUGGCUUAGAAGCAGCCACUCAUUUAAAGAGUGCGUAAUAGCUCACUGGUCGAGUGACUCUGCGCCGAAAAUUCAACGGGGCUAAAACCUGCACCGAAGCUUAGGCAUCCGCAAGGAUGGGUAGGGGAGCGUUGUGUACGAGGCGAAGCAUUAGCGAAAGCGGAUGUGGAUUGUACACAAGUGAGAAUGCCGGAAUAAGUAGCGCGAAUGAUGUGAGAAUCAUCAUGGCCGAAAGCCUCAGGUUUUUGGAGGAAGGUUCGUCCGCUCCAAGUUAGCCGGGAGCUAAGGUGAGGCCGAAAGGCGUAGCCGAUGCACAUACGGUAGAGAUUCCGUAGCCGCCGAAAGAUUUAAGCAGGGGGACACAUUUGAAGUGUUGGUGCCGGGUGUUGGUUUACCCGGUCGAAAGGGACUGAAAUUUAGUAGGGAAGUCCAGCAUGGAGAGUGGCGAGAAAAGCCCUGUGUAUAUCUAAGGCGCCCGUACCGCAAACCGACACAGGUAGGUAGGAAGAAGAUUCUAAGGCCAACGGGAGAAGGGUUGUUAAGGAACUCGGCAAAUUGACCCCGUAACUUCGGGAGAAGGGGUGCUCCAGAGAUGGAGCCGCAGAGAAUCGGCCCAAGCAACUGUUUACCAAAAACACAGGUUUGUGCUAAAUCGAAAGAUGACGUAUACGAGCUGACGCCUGCCCGGUGCUGGAAGGUUAAGAGGAGAUGUGCAAGCAUUGAAUCGAAGCCCCAGUGAACGGCGGCCGUAACUAUAACGGUCCUAAGGUAGCGAAAUUCCUUGUCAGGUAAGUUCUGACCCG
RNAcentral lists this ribosomal RNA (1891 nucleotides) under human gut metagenome. RNAcentral's name for it is "bacterial LSU rRNA". It matches the Rfam family "Bacterial large subunit ribosomal RNA", at positions 3 to 1990 of the family's 2925-position model. The record is from RNAcentral.